Molecule: ribosomal RNA, 469 nt
Filed under: uncultured bacterium
Lineage: Bacteria
Description: partial 16S ribosomal RNA
Rfam family: Bacterial small subunit ribosomal RNA
Source: RNAcentral
GACGAACGCUGGCGGCGUGCUUAACACAUGCAAGUCGAACGGAAAGGCCCUGCUUUCAUGGUGCUCUCGUGUCGAACGGGUGAGUAACACGUGGGUGUUCUGCCCCUUACUUUGUGGUAAGCCUUGGAAACUGUGUCUAAUACUGGAUAUGACCAUUUUUUCUGCGGUGUGGUGGAUAGAUUAGUUUCGGUAAGGGAUGAGCUCUCGGCCUAUCAGCUUGUUGGUGGGGUAAUGUCCUAUCAAGGCGUCGUCGGGUAGCCGGCCUGAGAGGGUGGACGGCGACAUUGGGACGAAGAUGAGGCGCAGAAUACUACGAGGGGAAGCAGUGGUGAGUAUUGUAGAAUGAGGGGAAGCAUGAUGAAGCGACGACGCGUGGGGGAUGACGACCGUCGGGGUGUUAUAACCUGUCAGCGACGACGAAGAACCUGGGGUGACGGUAGUGGGAGAAGAAGCACCGGCUAACUACGUG